This 1619-nucleotide long non-coding RNA is filed under the name Oreochromis niloticus (Nile tilapia). RNAcentral's name for it is "lncRNA (ENSONIG00000041083.1)". Lineage: Eukaryota; Metazoa; Chordata; Actinopteri; Cichliformes; Cichlidae. The record is from RNAcentral.
AUACCUGAUGAGAAAAUGAUAGGUGAUGUAGAGAUGUAAUGUAUAAGCUUUGACGGGAGUUAAACUGGAUCUUAUAUAUAUUUUUAAAGUGUAUUGUACGUGGGAUAGGCUCCAGCGCACCGCGCGAGCCUGAAAAAAGGAUAAGCGGAAGCGAAUGGAUGGACGGAUGGUGUAUUGUACGUGUUACAAACCAAUGUGAUAUUUUUUAAAUGAAAGGAUUGAGAGAAUGGUAAAAAGGAAAAUGCAAAAAUGUAGUUAGAGAGGAAGAUGAACACUUACCGAGUGAUAUGCACAUAGGGAAAGCGACGCGAGUUGUUGUUGAUCCCUGGUUCUCGGUUGUUGCGAGCUCGUUUCCCGCAGGCUCUUCUGCACUUCGGGUGUAGCGAUGAGGCUCAAAACACCCCAAUUAGACAAAGAGUGGCGGCAGGGCAGCGGGGCACCUGGGAGGCGGAGUGGAUCUCCGGCGCAAAUUUCAAACGAGGUAAGCAGCAUUCGGGGAUGAGCCGGGGAACGAACAAGAAGGAAAAAGAGAAUGCUCUGGUUGCGGGCCGGUGCGGCUCGGAGCGAAGGGAGAACUUAGACUCUGAGCGGGAUUUGAGAAAAAAAGACUAAGGAUUUGGUUUCAGGAUUUGCCCUGUUAUCGAAUAUAAGGUUUUGGGUAUACGGGGGUUCCCUACAGGUUAUUUCUAGGGGUUUUUUGUUUUGCGUAUUUUGGAGAGAAACCGCGGAGGUUUUUUUUUUUUUUUUUUCAGGAGGAUUGGCCGGUUAUGUGCCUAAGGAUCGCGAGUAAGAACUUAGACACGGAGCUAGUGAUAGGGCUGUUUUUUGAGAAAAAAAGACUAAGGCUUUUGUUUCAGGAUUUGCCCUGUUAUCGAGUAUAAGGUUGGGGAUAGGAGGGUGCCUACAGGUUAUUUCUAGGGGUUUUGGAGAAAAAACGCGGAGGGUUUUUUGUUUUGUUUUGUUUUUCAGGAGGUUUUUUUUUGUUGUUUGUUUUUUUGCUGUAAGCCGCUGGGAGCCGCGGUGCGUUUAUGAUCGCGAGAGUUUUUUGCGACUCGGACUUUGAUUUUAAAUUUCUUUGUUCGGAUUAAACAAAUGCAUAUAAAUUGAAAUAAACUUUUCCCACAAGGCAUGCACCCUGUAUGUCUGGCCAUACUGAACGUUACAAAAGCACAAGUUUAACUAAGCACAUUUAUACUGGUUUAACACAUUUUCACCCAUAAACACGAAGCCCCCACAGAAGCACGGUCCCGAGUCAGGCGCGCGCACGAGCGCGCCUAGACACACAGGCGCGCUCGUGCGCGCCCUGUGCACUCAUGCGCUGUCAUGCGCUGACCCACCACCAGAUGGCGUUUCUUUAGGGAAAAAAGGAAAAAGUUUUUAAUGGAUUAAAAAAAUAAAAGAAUGCUAUUUGAUAUAAAAACUUUUCUAAAAUAAGCAAUUAGUUCUUAUUUUUGGGGGAAGAAAAGCAAUGAACUAGCAUAUUUUGGAUGAAUAUCAUACUUUUAUGAAAAUCAUAAUUUUUAUGAAUAUCAUAAUUUAAUUAUUAUCAUAAUUUAAUUACUUCCUGAGCUCAUGAAUAAUUCAUAGAACCUAACACUCAAAAAGCUCAUGAAUAUUUU